GUUUCAGGGCGGGGUGAAAUUCCCCACCGGCGGUACAGCCCGCGACCACCCGCAAGGGUGCUGACUCGGUGAAACUCCGGGGCCGACAGUAAAGUCUGGAUGGAAGAGA
This 109-nucleotide non-coding RNA is filed under the name Candidatus Faecalibacterium faecigallinarum. RNAcentral describes it as "FMN riboswitch (RFN element)". It matches the Rfam family "FMN riboswitch aptamer (RFN element)". From Rfam's summary of the family: The RFN element is a highly conserved domain that is found frequently in the 5'-untranslated regions of prokaryotic mRNAs that encode for flavin mononucleotide (FMN) biosynthesis and transport proteins. This element is a metabolite-dependent riboswitch that directly binds FMN in the absence of proteins. In Bacillus subtilis, the riboswitch most likely controls gene expression by causing premature transcription termination within the 5' untranslated region of the ribDEAHT operon and precluding access to the ribosome-binding site of ypaA mRNA. The record is from RNAcentral. Lineage: Bacteria; Bacillati; Bacillota; Clostridia; Eubacteriales; Oscillospiraceae.